Molecule: ribosomal RNA, 481 nt
Filed under: uncultured bacterium
Lineage: Bacteria
Description: partial 16S ribosomal RNA
Rfam family: Bacterial small subunit ribosomal RNA
Source: RNAcentral
GACGAACGCUGGCGGCGUGCUUAACACAUGCAAGUCGAACGGGAUCCGGGCUUUCGGGUUUGGUGAGAGUGGCGAACGGGUGAGUAACACGUGAGUAACCUGCCCCCUUCUUUGGGAUAACGUCGGGAAAUCGGCGCUAAUACUGGAUAUUCUUGCUGCAUCGCAUGGUGUGGUUUGGAAAGGGUUUCUGGUGGGGGAUGGGCUCGCGGCCUAUCAGCUUGUUGGUGGGGUGAUGGCCUACCAAGGCUUUGACGGGUAGCCGGCCUGAGAGGGUGUCCGGCCACACUGGGACUGAGACACCGCCCAGACUCCUACGGGAGGCAGCAGUGGGGAAUAUUGCACAAUGGGCGCAAGCCUGAUGCAGCGACGCCGCGUGAGGGAUGACGGCCUUCGUGUUGUAAACCUCUUUCAGUAUGGAACAAGGAUCCUUCUUUUGGGGGGUUUGAGGGUACGUGCAGAAGAAGCGCCGGCUAACUACGUG